Molecule: long non-coding RNA, 306 nt
Organism: Cucurbita moschata (crookneck pumpkin)
Lineage: Eukaryota; Viridiplantae; Streptophyta; Magnoliopsida; Cucurbitales; Cucurbitaceae
Exons: 2
Source: RefSeq, a predicted model, not a curated record
AAUGGCAAGUCGAGGGGAGAACAAGCGCAGAGCAUUCUCAAUGGCCACAGCCCUCGAAGGAAAAACCACAACAUUCUUCACAAGAAAUGGCAACAGACAGACCACUUAGAGAUGCAGCCUUGUGUAUGCUUCACAUAAUAAAAAAAAGACCACAACACUCAUAGUGCCAAGUGUUCAUGACAUAGCGUUGGACACAAAUACGUCCAGACACGUGGCCAACACGCUAUUUUACACGUCACAGUUGGGAAAAAUUUUUAAACGAAAAUUACCUGAAUCAUUUAAAUUUAGAAAAAGAGAAAAAAAAAA